GCCACAUGGGGAGCCCUGAGAGGCUAAAGAAUCACGGGCCGGCUCACCUGGCUCGGCUUACUACCACGCCUCCAUGGUGCCGGCACAAGAGUCUGAUCUGGAGAAGAACACCCAUACCGGAGGACUCGUACCAACAGGUUCAGGGGGGACGAUGAACAAUGGGUAGACCACAUAUUAUAGACCUAUGUGGGGAGCGGGUAGGUGGGCGAGACUUA
Pelobates cultripes (western spadefoot toad) is the source of this 215-nucleotide non-coding RNA. The record is from the annotation of a GenBank genome assembly. Lineage: Eukaryota; Metazoa; Chordata; Amphibia; Anura; Pelobatidae.